Molecule: unclassified non-coding RNA, 326 nt
Filed under: soil metagenome
Description: partial contains 5.8S ribosomal RNA, internal transcribed spacer 2, and large subunit ribosomal RNA
Rfam family: 5.8S ribosomal RNA (bases 1-120)
Source: RNAcentral
GAUGAAGAACGUAGCGAAAUGCGAUAAGUAGUGUGAAUUGCAGAAUUUAGUGAAUCAUCGAAUCUUUGAACGCACAUUGCGCCCUAUAGUAUUCUGUAGGGCAUGCCUGUUCGAGCGUUAUUGAGACCUCAGGCUCUGCUUGGAAAUGGGCGCUUGUCUUGCCUUGCAGACUCGCCUUAAAACCAUUGGCAGCUGAUUUACAAUGUUUGGUGCACAGUACAUGAGCCCAAGUGUUGCAAUGAGUGGCCCAAAAGUAUACAAUAGAAGCUUAACCUCGGAUCAGGUAGGGAUACCCGCUGAACUUAAGCAUAUCAAUAAGCGGAGGA